ACUAGGAUGAUGAUCUUAAUGAAUCGAUUGUUGGCUAUGAUGAGAUAUAACUUCAAGAGGGGUUGUUUCACAUUGCUGUUCCGUGGUAUGUUGAAGUUGAUGCACUAUGGUAGUCAGAGCCUGAACUUGCUAAACCAAGAAAGUAAAUUAUUGAAGAUUAACUAUAAUUGGUCGUUGAGUAGCUUUCGGUACAUCUCUCAGAGAAGAUCACAAGGGUAAGGAGUUGUUCUGUGCUCAUCUUUUCCAUUUUUUCACUAAAAAUUUGGACAAGGUCCUUCCUUUAGUGCCAAUCUAUUGUUGUGAUGCUUCGAGCUG
RNAcentral lists this long non-coding RNA (315 nucleotides) under Elaeis guineensis (African oil palm). RNAcentral describes it as "long non-coding RNA (EGUI_LNC057233)". The record is from RNAcentral. Lineage: Eukaryota; Viridiplantae; Streptophyta; Magnoliopsida; Arecales; Arecaceae.